This 395-nucleotide ribosomal RNA is filed under the name uncultured bacterium. RNAcentral describes it as "bacterial SSU rRNA". It matches the Rfam family "Bacterial small subunit ribosomal RNA", at positions 29 to 403 of the family's 1533-position model. The record is from RNAcentral.
AGCGAACGCUGGCGGCGUGCUUAACACAUGCAAGUCGAGCGAAGGUGUUUCAAGGGUAACCUUGAGAUACACUUAGCGGCGGACGGGUGAGUAAUACGUGGAUAACUUACCUCUAGGCCUGGGAUAACCCCGGGAACUGGGGCUAAUACCUGAUAAGACCACAUUGUCUACGGACAAAGGGGUAAAAGGUGGCUGUGCAAACAGCUAUCGCCAAAAGAUAGGUUCACGUCCCAUCAGGCAGUUGGUGAGGUAAUGGCUCACCAAACCAAAGACGGGUAGCCGGCCUUGGCGGGUGAACGGCCACACGGGGACUGAGACACGGCCCGACUCCUACGGGAGGCAGCAGUGGGGAAUAUUGGGCAAUGGGCGCAAGCCUGACCCAGCGACGUCGCGUU